UACGUAGGCAGCGAGCGUUGUUCGGAGUUACUGGGCGUAAAGGGUGUGUAGGCGGCCCCCUAAGUUUGGUGUGAAAUCUCCCGGCUCAACCGGGAGGGUGCGCCGAAAACUGGAGGGCUAGAGUGCGGGAUGGGAGAGUGGAAUUCCUGGUGUAGCGGUGAAAUGCGUAGAUAUCAGGAGGAACACCGGUGGUGCAGACGGCUCUCUGGACCGUAACUGACGCUGAGACACGAAAGCGUGGGUAGCAAACAGG
Molecule: ribosomal RNA, 253 nt
Filed under: uncultured bacterium
Lineage: Bacteria
Description: partial 16S ribosomal RNA
Rfam family: Bacterial small subunit ribosomal RNA
Source: RNAcentral